GGAUAUAGCUCAGUGGUAGAGGACUUGCCUAGCAUGCAUGAGGUCCAGGGUUCAACACCCAGCACCA
RNAcentral lists this transfer RNA (67 nucleotides) under Marmota monax (woodchuck). RNAcentral's name for it is "tRNA.Ala". Lineage: Eukaryota; Metazoa; Chordata; Mammalia; Rodentia; Sciuridae. The record is from RNAcentral.